GUCACUUUGCCGGAGUGGUUAACGGGAUCGCCUGCUAUAAACAGCUAAGCGGUUGGGCUUUGCCCGCGAGUGUUCGAAUCGCUCAGGUGACG
Suillus clintonianus is the source of this 92-nucleotide non-coding RNA. NCBI's taxonomy places the organism in Eukaryota, Fungi, Basidiomycota, Agaricomycetes, Boletales, Suillaceae. The record is from the annotation of a RefSeq genome assembly.